UACAAGCAUUGAGAAAUGCUCUACAUUAUUCUGAGACCAAUGGGAAUAUUUGUGGCCAUGAGCUUUCUGUGCACAAUUGAAAAGAGAUGUGUCCUUUGCCUUUCACUGUUGGUGGGAGAGAAACAGCUGGAGUGCAAGUGGAUGAGCUUUAAGCCUCUUAUUUCUACCAGAACAAGAGAUGGUCAGGCUCUUAACAUUCAGCUUUACUGUAACUCUUGAAAGAUCAGAGUCAGAGACAUGGCUUGAUGACAAUAGUAAGAUGAUGAGAUCAUUUAUUUUGCGUCAAUCAUUAAGAAGUUUGCCAAGCCUUUCCUUAUUUAUGUCGAGACCCGGUUCUCUGGCGUGGUGGGGGAAAUCCUUAACUGAGUUGCGUCACAAAUACGUCAAUCACUCAUUCACUGACCAGUCACCACAGUAGCCGCCAUGUUCGCAGCUAUGGCAGGGUAGCGGUACCGAUGCAGAGCGCAUGGUCACAUCAUUGACAUCAAAUACUCGCUGACCGACACCCAAUCCCACCCGGAUAGCAGUUCACAGCUAGCCAGGCACCUUCCCCCCCAACGACCGAGCAGAGCAGUCGGGAUUCUACAGUGGGGGGAAACAUGCACUUUGGAGCGGGGGUCUAGGUGGACUACGAUGCCUUAGAUUUAGAGAGGAAUCCUGGCACAGCAUGGAGAUAAACAACGUCAGUAGUGAGGUCAAUGGGCAUCAGAUCAUGGAUGAACCCAUGGAGGAGGGCGAGUGUUACACGCACUGUGAUGAGGGGACAUACAAGGAGAUUCCUAUCACUCACCACGUGAAAGAGGGCUGUGAAAAAGCAGAUCCAUCGCAGUUUGAACUCCUCAAGGUCCUAGGUCAGGGGUCUUUUGGGAAGGUAUUUCUGGUAAGAAAAAUUGUGGGUCCAGAUGCCAGUCAGUUAUAUGCAAUGAAAGUUUUAAAAAAAGCAUCAUUGAAAGUUAGGGACAGAGUUCGCACCAAGAUGGAGAGAGACAUCUUGGUAGAGGUCAAUCAUCCCUUCAUAGUGAAAUUGCACUAUGCCUUUCAGACGGAAGGGAAACUGUAUUUAAUACUGGACUUUCUCAGGGGAGGAGAUGUAUUCACACGCUUAUCCAAAGAGGUUAUGUUUACAGAGGAAGAUGUGAAAUUCUACCUUGCAGAGCUGGCCCUGGCCCUAGACCACCUGCACAACUUGGGCAUAGUUUACAGAGAUCUCAAGCCAGAGAAUAUCUUACUUGACGAAGCUGGACAUGUAAAGUUAACAGACUUUGGCCUGAGCAAAGAGUCAGUGGAUGCUGAUAAGAAGGCAUAUUCUUUCUGUGGUACGGUGGAGUAUAUGGCCCCUGAGGUGGUCAACAGGAGAGGACACACACAGAGUGCUGACUGGUGGUCGCUGGGUGUGCUAAUGUUUGAGAUGCUAACAGGGACAUUACCAUUCCAAGGGAAAGACCGCAAUGAGACCAUGAACAUGAUUCUCAAAGCGAAGUUAGGAAUGCCUCAGUUCCUUAGUUUGGAAGCCCAGAGUUUGCUGAGGAUGCUGUUUAAACGUAACCCCACGAACAGACUAGGUGCCGGACCUGACGGCGUGGAGGAGAUCAAACGUCAUGCUUUCUUCUCCACCAUUGACUGGAAUAAAUUGUACAGGAGAGAACUACAGCCCCCAUUCAAGCCUGCAGCAGGUAAACCAGACGACACGUUCUGUUUUGACCCAGAAUUUACUGCAAAGACGCCUAAAGACUCCCCAGGUAUCCCUCCUAGUGCGAACGCCCACCAGCUCUUCAAAGGCUUCAGUUUUGUUGCUCCAACGCCGAUGGAUGAAAACAAGAGUUCCCCUCUCCUCAGUAUACUCCCGAUAGUUCAGAUGCAUGGGGGGUCCAAGUUCUUGGAUCUAUAUGAGCUGCAGGAGGACAUAGGAGUCGGCUCGUACUCCAUUUGUAAACGCUGUGUACACAGAGUCUCUGCCAUGGAAUAUGCUGUGAAGAUUAUAGACAAAAGUAAGAGGGACCCCUCUGAGGAAAUUGAAAUCCUGAUGAGAUACGGCCAGCAUCCUAACAUCAUUACACUAAAGGACGUGUAUGACGAGGGCAGGUAUGUUUACCUGGUGACAGAGCUGAUGAAGGGGGGAGAACUGCUAGACAAGAUCCUCAGGCAGAAGUUUUUCUCUGAGCGAGAGGCCAGUGCUGUGCUUUACACCAUCACUAAGACUGUUGACUACCUCCACUGCCAAGGGGUAGUACAUCGAGACCUGAAGCCCAGCAACAUUCUGUAUAUGGAUGACUCUGGGAAUCCAGACUCAAUCAGAAUCUGCGACUUUGGUUUUGCAAAGCAGCUUCGAGGGGGAAACGGCCUGCUCCUCACACCUUGCUAUACCGCCAACUUUGUGGCACCAGAGGUACUAAUGCGGCAAGGUUAUGAUGCAGCCUGUGAUAUAUGGAGUCUUGGAGUUCUAUUGUAUACAAUGUUGGCUGGGUACACACCAUUUGCAAAUGGGCCAAAUGACACACCAGAGGAGAUUCUUCUUCGAAUAGGGUCUGGAAAGUUUUCUUUGACAGGCGGUAACUGGGAUACUGUGUCAGACACCUCAAAGCGACAUCUGCAGCCUGAUGUGCUUACGUGUUGCAGGACCUCCUGUCCCACAUGCUCCAUGUGGAUCCUCACCAGCGAUACACGGCAGAGCAGGUUCUAAAGCAUUCCUGGAUUUCCUGCAGAGAUGCACUGCCACACUUCCAGCUUGCACGCCAUGAUGCACCACACCUCGUCAAGGGAGCCAUGGCAGCCACUUAUUCAGCGCUGAGCCAGAAGACAAGCCAGCCCGUGCUAGAGCCUGUGGCCGCAUCCAGUUUAGCCCAGCGACGCAGCAUGAAGAAACUCAUCUCAACAGACAUGUAGACACACACACACAUUGGGAGCCUGUGCUACCAUUUGGACCUCACUCAUAUACCGACCUAAGUCCUGGCCAGUCAAAGCUACAGUCUCCCUUUUUAACAUAUUUAUUUGACAAAACCAACAUAAACGCACAGCUCCAUGCACAUAUCCACUUGACGAGGCUCCAAUGCGAAGACAUGAGCUCAAAAGCAAGACAAGAAACUUGUAUUUGUUACUGCUGGGAAGACAGACUUGUAUUUAUUUCCACAGCUUCAUAUGCACUUGCCCUCCUCGCCUUUCAUUCUUUCUUCCCUGGGAAGAAACGCACCAGCUGAUGUUCUCCUUCACUGUGAUUGGCUGAUACAAAGCUGCUUCGGUAAACUGUGCCCACCCCCUGCCUCCCACUGCUCUUCAUCUAUGUUCCGUCUUCCUCUCUGCCUCAGUUCUUUCUCCUUCCUUGAUUGCAUUUGCUCUCUUCUUUUCUCCACAAUAGAGUGUAAAAGGUGUAUGUGUGAGAGUGCUAGCAAGAUGACGUUGACUGAGGGACAGACGCAAAUUGUUUCCCUAUUCGAAACCUACAACAAACGUUUCUUUUUGAAAUAGUGCUAAAUCGUAAGGAUCAAAAUCAUCUUCGAGCACUUUUGGCAGUAUAAAUGCAUGUUUGGACAGAAGAUGUAUUUCCUUGACCUUUAAUUCAUGUUUGUGAUGUAUCUAAAGAGGUUAAAAUGACUGCAGGUGGACAAAAUGUCUUAAAAUGAAUGUGAAACUGGUGACAAGUUCUAAAUUGCACAUAUACAUAUUACUUGCUAAUUUAUUUGGUACGCCUGGAUUAAACUAAUGCAGUGGCUUAUGUUUGAGGCUUUUGCUGCAUCUGUUUCAGAGAGGUUGAUUUUUUUAAAUUUAAUUUUUUUAUAUAUAUAAACGUUCAAUGGUGCACUAAAAUUUUUAUGGGUGGACAAAAUAUCAGUACCAGAUUUAACUAAAUAAACCUACCUUUUAAAAUGAAACAAAACGGAUCAUAAUAGUCCUCAUAGAUAUUUAUUUUCAUUUGUUUGAUCUGUGUGUACCUAGUACAUUUGCAAAUGAUUGUAUACAUAUCUUAAUAUAUACAGUGAAGGUUCUAAAGGUGAAGAGCAUGUGGUUGGAGCUGGAGGGAAUUCUCUGGGGGGAAUGAAAUGCACCCCAUCAAACCAGAGGCUGAAUAAAAAAAAGAAAAAAAUCUAUAGAUAUCUCUUUAAAAGACAUUGUGGAAAUUGUAUGAUAUUGUAUUUAUUUCAUUUGAUUUUUAAGAUUCUAUUUUUCUUUCAAGUUCUGUAUAUAUAUAUUGACAUUAAAGAUCAUUAUUGACAUGCA
This is an RNA transcript of Phyllopteryx taeniolatus (common seadragon), 4212 nucleotides long. It is a transcript of the gene named ribosomal protein S6 kinase a, like, with no coding region annotated. The record is from RefSeq and is a predicted model, not a curated record. Lineage: Eukaryota; Metazoa; Chordata; Actinopteri; Syngnathiformes; Syngnathidae. The transcript has 22 exons.